GAUGAAGAACGUAGUGAAAUGCGAUACGUAAUGUGAAUUGCAGAAUUCAGUGAAUCAUCGAAUCUUUGAACGCAUAUUGCGCUCUCUGGUAUUCCGGAGAGCAUGCUUGUUUGAGUAUCAGUAAACACCUCAACUUCCAUAUCUUUUUUGAAAUGGGAGUUGGACUUGAGUGAUCCCAACGCUUUUCCUCACCGAAAAGUGGCGGGUUACUUGAAAUGCAGGUGCAGCUGGACUUUUCUCUGAGCUAUAAGCAUAUCUAUUUAGUCUGCCUAAAAAACAGAUUAUUACCUUUGCUGCAGCUAACAUAAAGGAGAUUAGUUCUUGUGCUGACUGAUGCAGGAUUCACAAAGACAGGCUUCGGCCGACUUUGUAAACUCGAUCUCAAAUCAAGUAAGACUACCCGCUGAACUUAAGCAUAUCAAUAAGCGGAGGGA
This 434-nucleotide unclassified non-coding RNA is filed under the name soil metagenome. RNAcentral's name for it is "partial contains 5.8S ribosomal RNA, internal transcribed spacer 2, and large subunit ribosomal RNA". The stretch from base 1 to 120 matches the Rfam family "5.8S ribosomal RNA", at positions 35 to 154 of the family's 154-position model. The record is from RNAcentral.